This 2972-nucleotide long non-coding RNA is filed under the name Sus scrofa (pig). Its description in RNAcentral is "lncRNA (ENSSSCG00005018685.1)". Lineage: Eukaryota; Metazoa; Chordata; Mammalia; Artiodactyla; Suidae. The record is from RNAcentral.
AUGUGUGGUUCCUCGAUGGCCAGAGAAGCAGCAGCCGAUUCUGAAGUCACCUCCAUUUCACAAGCUGCCCUGAAUUUCAAAUGCUGUCACCUUCCGAGGGGCCUGGGACGCUCACCUGGUCAGAACAGCAGUGCGGAAAACACCUGCUCGUUGGGGGUGACCGUUCACAGGGCCAAUGGCCUCCAUCCUCACCGGGGGUCCUCCUGGCUCUCGGGCAGGGCCUGCCAUCAGCCCCGUUUUACAGACAUGGAGCCUGGGUGGCCCUGUCUGAUGGCCGCAAGUGACAGGGGGCCAGGUCUGCACCCCACAGGCAGGUUGGGGCCCCUCUCCCAGCCUCACCUCUCAGGAUGCCACCCCCCCCCCGGGGGCCCCCCCAUUAAACUACCAAUGGGGGCAAAGGCCAUCGAGCAGUGGCAGGGCCUGCAGAGUGUUUGGAAGUUUCUGUCUGGGGGCAGAAGGAACCUCUCUCAGGCUGGGAAAAAAGCCUCUCUCGUGAGAGCCCGAGAAGCCCUUCCACUUACAAGUGACACCAGCAGAGAGUCAGGGGCCUUAGCACGGGCCCCCGCCAUCACUGUCAAUCUGAUUCCACUUCAAUAAACAGCUCUGAUAUGACAUCAAAAACAAACGACAAACAUAAACGGGACCUCACCAAAAGGAAACACUUUUGGGAGUUCCCGUUGUGGCUCAGUGGAAACAAAUCUGACUAGUACCCAUGAGGACACAGGUUCGAUCCCAGUCUCACUCAGUGGGUUAAGAAUCCGGCGUUGCUGUGAGCUGUGGUGAAGGUCGCAGAUAUGGCUCGGAUCUGGCAUUGCUGUGUGUGGCGUAGGCCGGUGGCUACAGCUCUGAUUGGACCCCUAGACUGGGAACCUCCAUAUGCCGCAGGUGCAGCCCUAAAAAAUCAAAAAAAAGAAAGAAAGAAAAACUUUUGUGCCUCAAAGGACACCAUCCAGAAACUGAAAAAGCAACCCACAGAACGGAACAGAAGAUUUGCAAAUCGUAUAUCUGAUGGAGUUGUAUCUAGAAUACAUAAAGCAUCCUUAUAUCUCAACAAUAAAAAGGCACAUAGCCCAAUGAAAAAAACAGACGAAGGACUGGAAGAGACAUUUCUCCGAAGAGGAUACACAAAUGGCCAACAAGCGCAUGAAAAAAAUAACACAACACCCUUCGUCAUCAGGGAAACAAACCCACACUGUGGCGAGACCCCGUCUCACACCCGCUAGGAGGGCCGGAGUCAGAAAGUCAGACAACAAGCAGUGCUGGCGAGGAUGUGGGGAAACCAGGACUCGGACUCGGCUGGGGGCAGAAGACGGUGGAAAGCAGCCCGACGGCCCCCAGAGAGGGCAGCAGAAAUCACCGCCUGAUCUGGCAAUUCCGCUCCGAGGCCUGGACCCAGGACGAGCGUGUGUCCACGGGGGACGCGCAACAACCACGCUCACAAGGAUGGGUCCCAAGAGCCAAGGAGGGAAACGAAUUCCACCGACAGAUUAACACCAGCAGCAGACGUCAGCAUCGAAGGAGCAGGGCGUGCUCUCCCCACACCCGCAGCACCCCAAAGGGGUGAGGUGACUCCAGCCACGGCGUGGACGGGCCGGAAACACGCUCAGGAGAGAAGCCGGGCGCAGAAAGGGCGCUUGCUGAAUUACUGCCCUGACGUGACACACCCGGAGCAGACGGCUGGCGGCUGCCCAGGGCUGGCGAGGGGGUGGGAGUGGGGGUGGGGGGCUGCUCAGGGCGGGAAGACCCAACCCUGACUUGGUGACGGCUGCACGGCCCUGUGGAUGCACAGAAACCACGUGAACGCGGCGUAACUCAGCGCAAGAAAGCUGUGACCAAAACCACGUCCCCGCCCCGUCCUAUGAGUCACCCGGCAAAAAGCCCCGUCCUUUGUCUUUCGGUUCCAGGAGCCUUUCUCUUGCGUCAGGGUUCACCCGGAGGCCUGGGACAUUGCCUGGGGCUCCAGCCUCGCUGUCCCCAGGCCUUGCAGGCCCGUGCUGGGCGCACCCCCGCCUCCGGGGCCAGCACAGCGGGAACCGGGGACCCAGGAGCUUCUUGAUCUUCUCUGGUCCCCGAGGGCCACCCACCCCUCCUACCUGUUGUGGUCACCUGCUCUGCGCACCUGUGGGACAGCGCUGGCCCAGUGGCGAGUGUCUGCAGGGCAAGCUGGGGGGGGGGGGGGGGGACACGGAGGUGCUGCAAGGCACACUCGGAAAUGAAGGCUUCGAAAGAGGUGCCUCCUCCCAGACAAGGGCAGGGACGGAGCGACAGCGUUCUGGGCUGGGACAAGCGGUGCCGGCCACUCGGGGCCCUCAGGAAGCCCGCCCCCUGGGAGGUGGAUACGGCCAGAAGGAACUCGGCCUACCACGGAGACCCCAAAGGAUCGUCUCACUUGUCAGCCCAGUCCUAAUUUAACUCGAAGGAAGAAAGAGCCUCUGGUGGUACCUGGGCACAGGGUACCCCCCGUCGGCAGGAGGGGCUCUGAGCCGGCACACCAACCCCUGCCACCCGCCCCGGCACGUCCUGAUGUGGGGACCUACCCCGUCAGCAGGAGGGGGCUCUGAGCCGGCACACUGCCCCUGAUCCCGCAUGUCCUGAUGUGGGGACUGGCCCCCGGAGAGCAGUGGGGCUGCUGGGGAAGGAGACACUGAGAUGGACUGCAGAAGCGGAUGGCGUGAGGGACCACCUGCUUCCUCAAAACACACCAGCGCCAGGACACUCACCAGGGAAAAGCGAGGCUCGAGGACAGCAGGCCAGAAGGGUCCCAGAGACAGGGCCUCUGCUCCCGGGCCCCUCACUCUGCUGGACCACCACCACCCUCGGCACUCCAGCAAGGGACAUGCACGCGCCCACCCACAGCACACACCGGCCCUGCCCAGGAGGACCGCAGCCACCGCCCUUGAACUUGGCGGGGGGCGGUGGUGGUGGCGAGAAGCUGCAGAGAAGGGCCAGCCAAUAGACAGUCCUGCAGCCAC